RNAcentral lists this ribosomal RNA (506 nucleotides) under uncultured bacterium. Its description in RNAcentral is "partial 16S ribosomal RNA". It matches the Rfam family "Bacterial small subunit ribosomal RNA", at positions 29 to 523 of the family's 1533-position model. The record is from RNAcentral.
AGUGAACGCUGGCGGUAGGCCUAACACAUGCAAGUCGAACGGCAGCACAGGAGAGCAUGCUCUCUGGGUGGCGAGUGGCGGACGGGUGAGGAAUACAUCGGAAUCUACUUUUUCGUGGGGGAUAACGUAGGGAAACUUACGCUAAUACCGCAUACGACCUACGGGUGAAAGCAGGGGAUCUUCAGACCUUGCGCGAUUGAAUGAGCCUGUGUCGGAUUAGCUAGUGGGCGGGGUAAAGGCCCACCAAGGCGACGAUCCGUAGCUGGUCUGAGAGGAUGAUCAGCCACACUGGAACUGAGACACGUUCCAGACUCCUAAGGGAGGCAGCAGUGGGGAAUAUUGGACAAUGGGCGCAAGCCUGAUCCAGCCAUGCCGCGUGUGUGAAGAAGGCCUUCGGGUUGUAAAGCACUUUUGUUCGGGAAGAAAUCUUCCGUCCUAAUACGGCGGGAGGAUGACGGUACCGAAAGAAUAAGCACCGGCUAACUUCGUGCCAGCCGCCGCAGUAA